UGUCCAGACCACCAGUCACUUUUUCAUGCUAAAUAAUGCAGAACGUAAAUAAACAUUUUUCAUUCUGGACGAAUAACAAAAAAACGGGAAAAUAAUUUUUUUGUACUAUGGAGUGUGUUUUUUUCUGAAAAGAAAAUGAAAGAGAAAAGCAGAAGAGCGAAGAAAAUGAAAACAACCCUUACGAAAAGUGGUUUUUGUUUGGCCUGAAUAUGGUUUCCGAGUGGCUCAAAAAUUGUGUCCAAACGAGAAUCCAUUCCGAUUCCUUCCACUCCAUUUUCUGGCCGUAGUACAGCGGAACGACCUUUUACUAUUAUCAAAUAUUUAAAUUCGUUGUCCAGAAACGAACGGAUGGAACUAUUGGACAUAAAGUUGAGAAAAACUCGGCAAAUGGACUCUACCUUGUCCUCAAUUUUAUAGAAUCCUGAAUAACAGAUCUAAAUUGAAGUGGUUCUUGGACAGUUAUCUUCUUCCAUUUUUUGUCUGAAAUGGAAGGCUGUGUGGCGAGGAUUCCAAAGUGAGGCAAGCGUGUUUUGUUUAUUUGGUUAGCAG
Long non-coding RNA from Hermetia illucens (black soldier fly), 549 nucleotides. RefSeq lists it as uncharacterized. The record is from RefSeq and is a predicted model, not a curated record. The transcript has 3 exons. NCBI's taxonomy places the organism in Eukaryota, Metazoa, Arthropoda, Insecta, Diptera, Stratiomyidae.